AGUGAACGCUGGCGGUAGGCCUAACACAUGCCAGUCGAACGGCAGCACAGGAGAGCUUGCUCUCUGGGUGGCGAGUGGCGGACGGGUGAGGAAUACAUCGGAAUCUGCCCAGUCGUGGGGGAUAACGUAGGGAAACUUACGCUAAUACCGCAUACGACCUUCGGGUGAAAGAGGGGGAUCGCAAGACCUCUCGCGAUUGGAUGAGCCGAUGUCGGAUUAGCUAGUUGGCGGGGUAAUGGCCCACCAAGGCGACGAUCCGUAGCUGGUCUGAGAGGAUGAUCAGCCACACUGGAACUGAGACACGGUCCAGACUCCUACGGGAGGCAGCAGUGGGGAAUAUUGGACAAUGGGCGCAAGCCUGAUCCAGCCAUACCGCGUGGGUGAAGAAGGCCUUCGGGUUGUAAAGCCCUUUUGUUGGGAAAGAAAUCUUUCAGGCUAAUACCCUGGGAGGAUGACGGUACCCAAAGAAUAAGCACCGGCUAACUUCG
RNAcentral lists this ribosomal RNA (488 nucleotides) under uncultured bacterium. RNAcentral's name for it is "partial 16S ribosomal RNA". It matches the Rfam family "Bacterial small subunit ribosomal RNA", at positions 29 to 505 of the family's 1533-position model. The record is from RNAcentral.